CUGUGCCCGUCUUGACGGUACCUAAUCAAAAAGCCCCGGCUAACUACGUGCCAGCAGCCGCGGUAAUACGUAGGUGGCAAGCGUUAUCCGGAAUUAUUGGGCGUAAAGCGCGCGUAGGCGGUUUUUUAAGUCUGAUGUGAAAGCCCCGGGCUCAACCGGGGAGGGGCAUUGGAAACUGGAAAACUUGAGUGCAGAAGAGGAAAGUGGAAUUCCAUGUGUAGCGGUGAAAUGCGCAAAGAUAUGGAGGAACACCGGUGGCGAAGGCGACUUUCUGGACUGUAACUGACGCUGAUGUGCGAAAGCGUGGGGAUCAAACAGGAUUAAAUACCCUGGUAGUCCACGCCGUAAACGAUGACUGCUAAGUGUUAGGGGGUUU
RNAcentral lists this ribosomal RNA (376 nucleotides) under uncultured bacterium. Its description in RNAcentral is "bacterial SSU rRNA". It matches the Rfam family "Bacterial small subunit ribosomal RNA", at positions 458 to 833 of the family's 1533-position model. The record is from RNAcentral.